GGUCAAGCCGAGAAGGUUAAAUACUCCUAGGUGACUGAUAACGAAGUAGUACCGUGUGGGAAGAGUGAAAAGAACCCCCAUCGGGGAGUGAAAUAGAAUAUAAAACCGUAACCUCCCAAGCAGUAGGAGCAGCCAAGUCUCUGACCGCGUGCCUGUUGAAGAAUGAGCCGGCAGUAAGUGCUAAAAAAUCGUAUAUUGUUUCUGAUUUUUGUGUCUUUAUCUC
This 223-nucleotide ribosomal RNA is filed under the name Olea europaea subsp. europaea. RNAcentral's name for it is "Bacterial large subunit ribosomal RNA". It matches the Rfam family "Bacterial large subunit ribosomal RNA", at positions 450 to 716 of the family's 2925-position model. The record is from Rfam by way of RNAcentral. Lineage: Eukaryota; Viridiplantae; Streptophyta; Magnoliopsida; Lamiales; Oleaceae.